Molecule: ribosomal RNA, 946 nt
Filed under: Rhizophyta yapensis
Lineage: Eukaryota; Metazoa; Porifera; Hexactinellida; Lyssacinosida; Euplectellidae
Description: partial large subunit ribosomal RNA
Rfam family: Eukaryotic large subunit ribosomal RNA
Source: RNAcentral
AGCUGGAGCCCGAACUAUGUGUGUAGUUUUAUCAGGUAAAGCGAAUGAUUAGAGGUAUUGGGGUUGAAAUGACCUCAACCUAUUCUCAAACUUUAAAUGGGUAAGAAGUGUAGCUUGCUUAAGUGAAGUUGCACUGGAGGGGGUGGGCAACCUCCCUCUCUCCUAGAAUACAGGGGCUCUUAGUGGGCCAUUUUUGGUAAGCAGAACUGGCGAUGCGGGAUGAACCGAACGCUGGGUUAAGGUGCCCAAGUCAACGCUCAUGAGAUCCCAUGAAAGGUGUUGGUUGAUACAGACAGCAGGACGGUGGCCAUGGAAGUCGGAAUCCGCUAAGGAGUGUGUAACAACUCACCUGCCGAAUCAACUAGCCCUGAAAAUGGAUGGCGCUCAAGCGUUGCACCUAUCCCCGGCCACCGUGUGGAGAUGGCCAGUGCUGGUGACACGGUGUGUAGGAGGGCGCAGGGCUGUGUGUUGGUAUGCUGUGCAGGCUGGUGCGUGAGCCCAGCUGAAGCUGGCCCUGGUGCAGAUCUUGGUGGUAGUAGCAAUUAUUCAAAUGAGAACUUUGAAGGCCGAAGUGGAGAAGGGUUCCACGUGAACAGCAUUUGGACGUGGGUGAGUCGGUCCUAAGAGAUGGGCGAAAGCCUGGUUAGCAAGGGUGCAGAUGUGCUGUCGCUCUCAACAGGCGGCAGUAUAUCCGGUUGGUUCUUCACGGGGCCACAGUGGCACCAGCUCUCGAAAGGGUAUCAGGUUAACAUUCCUGAACCAGACACUUGGAUGCUGCACGCGCGGCCUGCCUUCACGGGUGGGCAGCGUGUGUGGGGCACGGCAACGUAUAUGUGUGUGUAUGCUCGGCGACGCUUGCGAUAGCCCUGGGAAGAGUUGUCUUUUCUUCUUAACCGUACCAACCGUGUGCACAGCCCUGGAAACAGUUUACCUUGAGAGAGGGCUG